UAGAAAUUAGUUAAAAUUAUAACAUGUAUUUGUCAUAUAUAAAUUAUCUUUUCCUUUCGAUAUUUCUAA
Molecule: transfer RNA, 69 nt
Filed under: Geothelphusa dehaani
Lineage: Eukaryota; Metazoa; Arthropoda; Malacostraca; Decapoda; Potamidae
Description: tRNA-Asp
Source: RNAcentral